CUUCCACCCGCGUUCCUCCUGUGCGCACGCGCUGCGUGUCACCGGCCGGAAGCGGCUGCCGGGAGCGGACGUCAAAUCCGUCUCUGCGUUUUGAGCUUUCCGUUUUGUACGUGAGCGUCUCCAGUCAACAGUCGCACACGCCCAGCGCCUGGGGGUCUCAACGCACGUUAGCGUCGCCUCCCCUGCGCCUCCCACCGCGGUUUGACGUCUCGAGACCCAUCUUGCCUGGGACAGAAGCGCAGAGGAGGCAAGUCCAGGAGUCAAGAAUGACUCUUUCUCAGUGUGUGUGUUGUAGGUGCACACGUGUGUGAGCAGGAGCCUGUGGUGUGUAUAAAACACCGUGUCAUUUCAGAAAUAAGUUUGAUAUUUAUUUCAACUUUGAAGGUAUGUCUGACAUGUUUUCCAUGGCCUUAAAUUUUUUUCUACACCAUCACCUAAAUGAGGUAACAGCAGUAUGAAUCCUGUGUGUGCACAUGUGCCUGUUGCAGACAAAUAUAUUUAUCUUUAUCCGGAUUUAAGUUUCAGCCAUUAACUUGUUUCAUAUUUUCUCCAUUAGGAAGCUCUCUGUCAACAGACUUUUACCGUGUGUCCAUUACAUUCCUGUGAGGCCCUGUGGGUUCCAUGCUAAAGCCUGACCACUUGUUUAGGGACAGGCUCUGCCAUUUAUUACCUGAUUGACUGAUGCAGGUUCCUUAGCGUGUGUGUGUGAGUUGGGUCCUGUGUAAGAUGGGAACCACUACUAAUUUAAUUGGAUGCUAUGUUCUUCUACAAGUAGGGUGAUG
This 782-nucleotide long non-coding RNA is filed under the name Felis catus (domestic cat). Its description in RNAcentral is "lncRNA (ENSFCAG00000045172.2)". Lineage: Eukaryota; Metazoa; Chordata; Mammalia; Carnivora; Felidae. The record is from RNAcentral.